AACGAACGCUGGCGGCAUGCCUAAUACAUGCAAGUCGAACGAGAUCUUCGGAUCUAGUGGCGCACGGGUGCGUAACGCGUGGGAAUCUGCCCUUGGGUUCGGAAUAACUUCUGGAAACGGAAGCUAAUACCGGAUGAUGACGUAAGUCCAAAGAUUUAUCGCCCAAGGAUGAGCCCGCGUAGGAUUAGCUAGUUGGUGGGGUAAAGGCCCACCAAGGCGACGAUCCUUAGCUGGUCUGAGAGGAUGAUCAGCCACACUGGGACUGAGACACGGCCCAGACUCCGAGGGGAGGCAGCAGUGGGGAAUAUUGGACAAUGGGCGAAAGCCUGAUCCAGCAAUGCCGCGGGAGUGAUAAAGGCCUUAGGGUUGUAAAGCUCUUUUACCCGGGAUGAUAAAGACAGUACCGGGAGAAUAAGCUCCGGCUAACCCCGG
RNAcentral lists this ribosomal RNA (432 nucleotides) under uncultured bacterium. RNAcentral describes it as "partial 16S ribosomal RNA". It matches the Rfam family "Bacterial small subunit ribosomal RNA", at positions 29 to 506 of the family's 1533-position model. The record is from RNAcentral.